RNAcentral lists this long non-coding RNA (7271 nucleotides) under Malus domestica (apple). RNAcentral describes it as "long non-coding RNA (MDOM_LNC010220)". The record is from RNAcentral. Lineage: Eukaryota; Viridiplantae; Streptophyta; Magnoliopsida; Rosales; Rosaceae.
AACCUUCACUACUUGUGAAUAUAAGUUCAUAACGAUUAGGUGAAAUUCACUUAUAUUCUAGCAUCAAAUUCAUGCAUGUAAAUUAAGUAUGCAUCCUUAAUCGACAUACAAAAAUAAGUUAUCAAUCAAGCAGUUAAGCAAAUUAAAUCACAACUCAGAGAUCACAACUGAAGGUAAUCAAUUCAUAUUACAAAUAUAUUCAUGGUUUCGAAUUAACCUCUAGCCAAAAUAAAUUUAAUUACACAUUAUUAAAACAGAAAUAAAAUAUAAGUUUGGAAAGAUUAAACCGAAAGAAGAUGAUCUGCUGCUUCUGAUCUCUCCUUCCUGCUGCUAUUUUAUUUUUCCCUUUUUUUCUUCCAGCUCACGCUGUCUCUCUCUACAUAGCUGCCAACGCAGCCUUUCUCCCGCGUCUCACACGCCUCUGUCUUCUUGCUGCGCCCCCUGCUUUUCUGUCAGUCCCUCACCUUUAUUUCUUUCUUCUUUCUUAUUCGCUUCCCUCACGUCUCUCUAUCCUCUCUGACCCAGUGCUGCCAAAGGCAGCUCCAUCUCCCCCCCCCCCAAUUGCCUCUGCUUUCCAUUCUUUUAUUCCCUUUUUUCCAGCUGCCCUUGGAUUCUUUCACCGUUCUUUUCUGCUCUGACUCCUUCACGUAUCCAGCUCCUUCUUUCUUUUAUUCUUUUCACCCUCCCGUGUGUACUCACUUCUCUCCCACGUCAGUCCUCUCUUGGAUUCCCUUUUCUUUAGCUUUCUUUAUUUUUAUUUUUUUUUUCAUUUCUUUUCUUUAUUCUUUCUACAAAACAUAAAUAUGAUGAUGUUUCACAAAAAUAACGUAAAUAGCUCAAAAAUAUAAGGAACUAACUAAGAAAAGACGAGUGAAUUCGAAGUAAAAAUAUAUAUAAAUAUGAUCCGAUCAAAUACCCCCACACUUAACUUUUGCUAGUCCUUGAGCAAAACAAAGAAAAUAAGAACAAGAAGUAACAAGAAAAACAUUAGCUUCCUUCUAUGUGACCCUCAUAGAAAUUCAUUUAAGAAAACAAAUCAUCAAGAACCAUAGCUAGCAUCAAGGAACUAAUCCAAGUUCAUCUUCCUUAUUCAAAUAUUAGCAGUAAUCUUUGAAUCAUCCUUGAAGUGUAGUGUGUGAGAUAGCCAUGCUAAUGCAAUUUCAAGUUUUUAUUUUUAAAAUCAUCAUAUGCAAACUAGUAACAUUCUCACGGGAUAUACACUCAAUCACAUAUGUGUUUAGUUUUAAUGUGUUUCGCUCAAAGAAUCAAAUGUGAAAUUUCUACCAUAAGCUUGCAUAAAGAUCACUUCUCCACAGUCAUAAUUGCAAAACUUAAAUCAAGAGGACUUUUAUUGGACGUAAUGAGGUUUAGGGAGAGGGUUAUUGAAAUGAAAGAAUAGGUAAACACAAGUUCCAAGCUACAUUGCAAGCAAUUCUUUUGUUUAGAUUUAUAAGAACUCAAUAUUUCCAGCGAUUCUUCUAGCACCUCCAACCACACCCUUAAACUGAAACUUUAAAAACUUUUUAUUUUCUUUGUAUACAAAUUUUUUUUUCUUUAAAUACAAACAUGAAAUACCCCCACACUUAUUCUUUUGCCAAACACCUUCAAAGUACUUCACAAACAUUUCUCAUAAGACAAUCUCACAUUGCUCACUAGCUUGCUUGGAAAGGGUAAAGAAGAAUGUUUCAGGUAUAAGGGUAGACAUAUCUGGUGGUAAGAAAUAAAAGGCUCAACAUACACAGCUCAAAUUGGCAAUCUAAUGAUAUCAUUUUUAUUUGGGAAACAUGGUUAUUUGGGCUAUAGUGGUAAACCUAAUGCCUCUAUCAUUUCCAAGUUCAUGCAAUCAAUGACAAACAUUUCGAAAGAUCGUUACGCAAGUUCUAGAGAUGUAUCUCACAUAAGUUCAUCACACAUGAAAGAAUAGGAGUGUAUAAAAAAUGCACACACUUUCAAUAGGCUCAAAAACUCACAUAGGAUGUAUAUGGUCACUAAAUUCACAUAUGACGCUUUAAUUCAUACUUUAGUUUCACAUUAACAAGGCUAUGUGCAUUUGGUUUUUCAAAGAUGGUCAAACAUGUACAAAACUAACAAGAGAAUAAGGAAUUUCACAAAACACAUGUUAACUAAGUUCUUGAUGAUCAUGGUUCGAAUUUGAUCCAAUUAUAUCAUUGGGUCGGGAAACUAACAAAAAUCUAAUUCAAAACAAUAAGGGAAACAAGACAAUAUUUUUGGAUUUUUAAAUUUCCGAUUUUUUUUAUUUUUUAUUUUUAAAGAAAACAAAAAGCAACAACACAGAAACAAAUGAAAUUCUAGAGAUUUCUACCCCCACACUUAAACUUGACAUUGUCCCCAAUGUCAGAAAACACUAUAACGCAAAUAAAAAUAAAAUAAAAUAAAUAAAUAAUAAGAAACAAAAUAAAGCAAUUGGACUAAAAACUUCCCUAAUUUGCAGUAAAAUCAAGCGAUGACCCCCAAGCUAAAAUUCUGCAAUCAACUUCAAGGGUGGAAAUAACCAAAAGUUCCUGCAAAGAAAAGAAAUAAUUCAGUUAAGUAACGCAAGAAAAUAAAAUAAUAAUAAAAAAUAAAUAAAAAAAAUUGCAAACGAAAAAUUGAAAAUCACGAUAAAAGACAAUGAAUAGAACUAAUAAGUAAUCAUUGGUCGUGUUUGUUGACUUUCCACAGCUUUCCUCUUGAACGGGGUGACACUUAGCUUUUUACUUGCAAGUGAUGAUUUGAUGAUAUUGUACGGCGAAGCUUUGCUCUUUGGUGAUGUUGCAGUUCCUUAUUUGUUCUCCAAGCAGAUGUGGCAGCUUCUCUAGUUCUUCAGCUCGGACUCCUUCCGCUGGGAUGAUUGUGCAAGCUGCAUUCUUCUCUGCUUGUUUCUUCUGUACGUUGUCUCCACAUGCUGCUGGUAUCAUUUUCGCUUGCCUUAUCUGUUCUUCAGGUAGAUGUGGCAGCUUCUUUGGAAGUACAUCAGCAGUGGAAGACGAGUACUCGAGAGCAAUUUCCAUGUCCUGCAGGUUAGAACAAAGACAAGGAAAAGGACAUGGAGAAUGCAUGAUAUGAGAUACUCUUGCUUUCAACAUUUAUGAUAUGAAAUACUCUUGCUUUGAAUGGGUUGUUCGCAGGAGUAUCCCAAGGAAUGAGGAACACAGAGUAACUUAGGAGGAUUCUUUGGGAAUGCAUUUUCGGAGAUGAAGAAGUGCUGAGAGAGAAGUGCUUUUGCUGUGGAAGGCGAAGGUGGAAACUUAUAGGACUUUUCUUCACAACCGGAACUGUUCUCUCACUUAUUGUCGGCAGCCGGUGGAUGGAUGAAUAGUACAAAUUACGCGCUUUCUGACAAAGCUGCCCGUAAUUUCCGCAAAGCUGCAAGUUGCAUGUGACGAGUGACGACACGUCUGGACAAAUUGAUCUUUUGAAAUCCGGGUUUCGGCUCGUGGUUUCUGAGCAAGCCCAUUUUUUGAGAAAUGAAACGCCUCUUUUGAGAAAAGAAUCCGGCUUUUGAGAAAGGAAACUCCUCUUUUGAGAAAAGAAUCAGGCGUUUGAGAAAGGAGCCCCGACUCUUCGAUUUGCGAGAGGACGCUUCUCUGAGGAGCGCCUCUCCGAUUUCUUCUUUUUAUAGAGGCGCUAAUUUUGUUCCACAACACACUUGAGCUCCCUCUUGUAAACACUCCCUCCUGUAAACUUCCAAAAUCUUAAUCAGUCCGACUCUCUUCUUUCUUCACCACCUUCAGAAAAUGUCUGGCCCUUCCGAUCGUCGUUUUGACUUGAACAUUGGUGAAGAGGCAGCUCCGCCUUCACCAGACAACAUAUGGCGCCCAUCUUUCAUAUCCCCUACAGGUCCUCUCACCGUUGGGGAUUCGGUGAUGAAAAAUGACAUGACUGCUGCGGUGGUGGCCCGGAACCUUGUCACCCCCCGAGAUAACAGACUGCUCGCUAGACGGUCUGAUGAAUUGGCGGUUAAGGAGUCUCUGGCUCUUAGCGUGCAGUGUGCGGGUUCUGUGUCCAACAUGGCCCAACGCCUAUUUGCUCGAACCCGUCACGUCGAAUCGUUGGUGGCUGAAAUACAGAGUCUCAAAGAGGAGAUUAGAGGACUCAAGCAUGAAAAUAAACAAUUGCACAAGCUUGCACACAAUUAUGCCACAAACAUGAAGAGGAAAAUUGACCAGCUGCAGGAAAAUGAUGGUCAGAUUUUACUUGAUCACCGGAGGUUUGUGGGUUUGUUCCAACCGCAUCUGCCUUCGUCUUCUGGGGCGGCACCGCGUAGUGAAGCUCCAACUGAUCAACCUCCGAUACCUCCUCCUUCCGUGGCCCCGCCGACUGCUGAAGCUCCGCCGACUACUGAAGCACCACCUGACCAAUGAAUGCUGUUAGUUUACACAUCAUUGUAAAAUAUUUUUACUUUUAUGUGUUUUUUUUUUUUUUAGGUGUGUUUUUGUUUUUUUUUUUUUUUUUUUUUUUGUUUUUUUGUUUUUUUUUUUAUCAAUGCAAAAUAUGUAAAUCAAUGUAAAAAGACUUUGUUUAACCUUCCCCCACACUUAAACUAAAUAACACAAACUCACAGAAAUCAACCAAAUAACACAACUAACUGAACAAAACAAAAUGAAAUCAGUAAAGAUAAGGGUGUAAGAAUGCAAAUCUGAUUUGGUUAGCGAUUCCAAAGUCUCCCUUCGUUGAAUGCUUGGGUUGCCUCCCAAGAAGCGCUUGAUUUAACGUCUUUAGCCGGACGAAUCUUUCCUUUAAACUCCCCUCGGCUCCAAAGCAUGGAAUUUAUCUUUUAAUGGGAGGUGAUACUUGAAAUGAUUCGGCAAUGGUUUAAAUUCAAGAGUGGGUGCCUGAAUCAUCAAAAUCAGAAAAAUGUUAGUAUAAAUAAAAAUUAAAAUUGGAGAAGAUGGCUUACUUUCUUUUUCUGACACAAACUCAAUGACAAACACCACAUUUUUGAACAUUUCCGGGACUUUGAACUUGGCCAGGUUUACUAUGAUGGUUGUGGCUUGUCCCGUUUUAUCAAACUCAACUGCUUUGGGCUUGAUUGUCUCAUGCACAGCCUCUUGGAUGUAUUCUUGAUAUGCUUCAACCACUUCAUUUUCUUGAAUCUCUUUUCUUGGUGUGCAAGGUUCUUUGAACGUUUCAAUACCAUCGGGAACUUGUUUUGGUGCACCAAGAAUUGGGAUAUCACUUUGCACCUUUGGAAGAGCUUCCACAAUGUCUUUUUCACUCUCUUUGAAAUUUGGAAUCAAAAACCUGCAAGGACAAAGGACAUUCGGUGGAAUAAUGUUAGAAUGAAGUGAAUUUAGAACUUCCUCACCUGAGUUGGAUGACAUAGGGAUUUGAGGAGCUUGCAGCAAGAAUUCUUCUAAACUGCCCAGGUCGUCCUCCUCCUCUUCUGCUUGCAGCAACAAUUCAUCCAUGUUCGGGCUGUGUUUGGAUGGUUCUGGGACAGCUUCAUCCUUCAUGUCACCUUCCAAAGUGAUGGCUUCAUCGAUUUCAACUUCUGCCUUUGACUUUGCAAUGUUUGAGUUGGAAAGUUCGCUUUGAUCUCGAAUCUGUGCCAUGAAUUCCACAAUCUGCCCAACUUGCAUAUCCAAUUUGUCCACUCUUUUGACUCGGUCUUGCAUCUCCUGGUUUUGAUUUUCUACUCCCUGAUUCAAAGAGGUGAGUAACUUAUUAAGUGUAUCAUUAUUCAAGGACGUACCUGAAUUGAAUUGGGCUGAUUGUUGUGGUGGCUGUGACGGUUCAUAUGGCCACUGAUAGAACUCUUCCGAUGGUGGCAAUUGUUCUUCUUUUGUGAACCCUGCGUCAAAGAAAUUAGUCCUUCAAGAAUUUCAUUAUAAUUUACGGGCAUACUUUGAUUUGAUUGGAAUUGUUGUGGGGGAUGUUGUGGUGGCUGCAUAGGUCUUGAAUAGAACUCGUCUUGCUGCCAAUAUCCACCUUGUUGAAAUUGUUGAGGUUCAUCCCACAUAUAAUCUGAAUUACCUCUCCAAUCUGAAUUGCAAGCGUUGGAAAGCAUGUUGCCCCUUGAUUGGUUAUGGCCUUGAUAUCCCCAAACAUCUUCAUUUGCAGAAAAUUGAGGACUUUGAUAUCCUUGCCCAUAGGGCACAUCAAGUGUAGGGACACUUGGCAUUGUGGUCCGUUCGGCAUUAUGAGUCAAUUGAGCAGUGAGCUGUGCCAAUUGAGCUUGAAUGGUCGCAAGUGCCAUGUCUUGCUCCAUUUGUACCUAAAAUCAAAGAAAGAAAAAUAAAUCAAAUAUCAAAAGUAAAAUACACAAACACCAAUAUAAACAUAAACAAAAACAAAAAUAAAGGGAUUAGCAAAGUUGCUAAUCCCCGGCAACGGCGCCAAAAUUUGAUGUGAGAAUUUCUUGACACACAAUUAAACCCUCUUUUUGACAAUUGUAGUAUAGAUGUAAGUAGGGUAUCGUUCUAGGCCGGGGAUUAGGAGGGAUUGCUAAUCUAUUCUAAAUUAAUUUAAAAAUAUUAAACAAGACUCAAGGACACAAAACUAGGCUAAAAACUCUAAUAACUCGAAACACACUUAAGAUGACUCAAAAUAAUGAAAAUAAUCAAAUUAAACACUAGGAACUGAAAUGGACGGAAAUCGAAUUGAAAGACUAACAAUAAUGAAAACUAACUAAAUAAUAUAAUUUAAUAAUGGAAGGGUGUUUGGUUUUGACAAACUUAAAUAAAUUACAGAAUUGACAAAAACAUGAAAUUAAGGUGAAAGGAUAAAUGACGGACUAGCUAGAGGGUUUUUCUCCACACAUGACACAUAUGCAACCUAAAUUGAUUUUCAGUUGUUCUUUCAAUAAGUUGUGAAUUUCAACACUUCAGAUUAACCGUGAAUAGCACUUUUUUAAUCUUCAAGUUUUCCUUAAGUUAUUGAAUUGGACGGGAAAACGCAUACAACAAUUCAAACCAUUCUUCAAAAGUCCCCUACGUGAAAAGCACAAUAGAGAUACAAUCAAAGAUCAUUAAACUUUGUGAAAACUAUAAGCAUUGACGAGGCAUUCGUAACUAUGAAAAGCAUGAUACUCUUGGCAAGAAUUUACUUAACACGAUUGUGGAUAGCAACCUUCACUACUUGUGAAUAUAAGUUCAUAACGAUUAGGUGAAAUUCACUUAUAUUCUAGCAUCAAAUUCAUGCAUGUAAAUUAAGUAUGCAUCCUUAAUCAACAUACAAAAAUAAGUUAUCAAUCAAGCAGUUAAGCAAAUUAAAUCACAACUCAGAGAUCACAACUGAAGGUAAUCAAUUCAUAUUACAAAUAUAUUCAU